GAUGAACGCUGGCGGCGUGCCUAACACAUGCAAGUCGAGCGCGUCUGAUUUGAUGCUUGCAUUAAUGAAAGAUGAGCGGCGGACGGGUGAGUAACGCGUGGGUAACCUGCCCUAUACACAUGGAUAACAUACUGAAAAGUUUACUAAUACAUGAUAAUAUAUAUUUACGGCAUCGUAGAUAUAUCAAAGUGUUAGCGGUAUAGGAUGGACCCGCGUCUGAUUAGCUAGUUGGUGAGAUAACUGCCCACCAAGGCGACGAUCAGUAGCCGACCUGAGAGGGUGAUCGGCCACAUUGGAACUGAGACACGGUCCAAACUCCUACGGGAGGCAGCAGUGGGGAAUAUUGCACAAUGGGCGCAAGCCUGAUGCAGCAACGCCGCGUGAACGAUGAAGGUCUUCGGAUCGUAAAGUUCUGUUGCAGGGGAAGAUAAUGACGGUACCCUGUGAGGAAGCCCCGGCUAACUACGUGCCAGCAGCCGCGGUAAUACGUUAGGGGGCUAGCGUUAUCCGGAUUUACUGGGCGUAAAGGGUGCGUAUGUGGUCUUUCAAGUCGGUGGUUAAAGGCUACGGCUCAACCGUAGUUAGCCUCCGAAACUGGAAGACUUGAGUGCAGGAUAGGAAAGUGGAAUUCCCAGUGUAGCGGUGAAGUGGUGAAAUAUUGGAGGAACACCAGAGCGAAGGUGGCUUUUCUGGACUGGUACUGUCACUGAGGCACGAGAGCGUGGGUUGCAUACUGGAUUGAGAUACUCUGGAGCCCAAGGGGGAUUCCUGCAGUGGAUAUCUUGCUUAUCUUUUCUCUUGACCUCGAGGGGGGGUAAGAAAAGCACAUGUUUGUUUCUGAUUAAAUGUGGUUGGUUAUGUGUGUCCUGCAUGUUGCCCUGUGCCUUUGUGCUGCGUUAGUGCCCUGUGAUGUGGUGUGUGCUGUCCUGUGUUUUGGAUGUUGUGUGUUUGCUUGGUGUUGUGUGUGGGUGUGUGUCGCGGUGUUGUUGUGUGUUGGCGUGUGUGUUCAUGUU
RNAcentral lists this ribosomal RNA (1013 nucleotides) under uncultured beta proteobacterium. Its description in RNAcentral is "bacterial SSU rRNA". The stretch from base 1 to 789 matches the Rfam family "Bacterial small subunit ribosomal RNA". Lineage: Bacteria; Pseudomonadati; Pseudomonadota; Betaproteobacteria. The record is from RNAcentral.